Molecule: ribosomal RNA, 253 nt
Filed under: uncultured bacterium
Lineage: Bacteria
Description: partial 16S ribosomal RNA
Rfam family: Bacterial small subunit ribosomal RNA
Source: RNAcentral
AACGUAGGUGGCAAGCGUUAUCCGGAUUUACUGGGCGUAAAGGGUGCGUAGGUGGUUGGGUAAGUCUGAUGUGAAAUCUCCGGGCUCAACCCGGAAAUGGCAUUGGAUACUAUUCGGCUAGAGGUUUGGAGGGGGGACUGGAAUUCUCGGUGUAGCAGUGAAAUGCGUAGAUAUCGAGAGGAACACCAGUGGCGAAGGCGAGUCCCUGGACAACACCUGACACUGAGGCACGAAAGCUAGGGGAGCAAACAGG